CCUCUCAUCCGGCAUUUGAGUAUCCGGCACAUUUUUCCCCGAGCCUUAAAAUCAAUAAAAAAUCAAUGCGUACUCAUAAAAUCGAUUAAAAUUCCCGCGCGAGGCAUACUUUGUCCCCUUGCCACCAGAGCGCACUGCUUCGCGCCACCCGCGGCCCACUGCACUGUUUACUCAGUGACUCAGUCCCGCGUGUGCCCUGUUUAUCGCCUGACGCCUUCAUCAUGCCUAAAGUUGUAGAAAAGAGGAAGCGUGUUGUGCUUACACUUAAGCAGCUGAUCAGAUCAGCUGAUCUUUGUUAUGUGGUUCUGAAACAAGUGGCAGCCAGUGAUGCACAGCGAGUGGAGCAACUCCUUGGGCAAGGCAGUUGUUCCCGAACAACUUCAAAGAGCUACAAGAUGAUCUACAAAACUACCAAGCUUAGAUAUAAUGGAACUAUCUUUGGCAAAACUUCAACCUGUGUUCAGCAUCUUCAGCAUCAAGACAAGCACAAUCCUUCCUCACUCAUGGUGCAGGAGAGAAAAGAACUACGUAUUGUGCCGUUGGUUCACGAACUCCUAACACCUUCUAAUACUGUGCAAACAUAUACUAGUAUUUCAUUAACAGCAGAUAUAAUAGAAGGAUGGAAUUUUCAUCAAAACCUGCAUGCCAAUUUUUUUUUUUUUUUUUUUUUCCCAUUCUGUGGUUAUGUCUCCUCUUGCAACACAGCAGUUCACUUUUAUUCUAGUGGCAUUCAAAGUCCAUCACUAUAAACCAUGCAGUUUCCCUCUACACAUUCCCCAUAUUCUAUAAUGGUACACCCCAUAUGCACAUUACACAGAGUUCUAUUUAACUACAUUCACUAACAUUUUCAUUUCUGUAAGCUGCAAUGUAAUAAAUAAUAUAAAAGAA
Scylla paramamosain (green mud crab) is the source of this 888-nucleotide long non-coding RNA. RefSeq lists it as uncharacterized. The record is from RefSeq and is a predicted model, not a curated record. The transcript is spliced from 3 exons. NCBI's taxonomy places the organism in Eukaryota, Metazoa, Arthropoda, Malacostraca, Decapoda, Portunidae.